Molecule: long non-coding RNA, 216 nt
Filed under: Elaeis guineensis (African oil palm)
Lineage: Eukaryota; Viridiplantae; Streptophyta; Magnoliopsida; Arecales; Arecaceae
Description: long non-coding RNA (EGUI_LNC081122)
Source: RNAcentral
GCUGCCAUCGCUAAAAACAUCACCAUCCCUAAUUUCGUCAUAAUAGCUAAUUUGAAAAUACCUUAUUGCUAAAUACCUUUGUUAGCGAUGAAGAAUACUGCCAUCGGUAAUAUGACUAUUAACGAUGGCAUUAGCGAUGCAAUAACUCUAUCGUUAAUUAUUUUUUAAUUUUAAAUUUAAAAAAUUAAAAAAAUAUUAAUGACUGUAUUUUUAUGG